Molecule: ribosomal RNA, 476 nt
Filed under: uncultured bacterium
Lineage: Bacteria
Description: bacterial SSU rRNA
Rfam family: Bacterial small subunit ribosomal RNA
Source: RNAcentral
ACUCCUACGGGAGGCAGCAGUGGGGAAUAUUGCACAAUGGGGGAAACCCUGAUGCAGCCAUGCCGCGUGUGUGAAGAAGGCCUUCGGGUUGUAAAGCACUUUCAGUAGGGAGGAAGGUAGUGUAGUUAACACCUGCAUUAUUUGACGUUACCUACAGAAGAAGCACCGGCUAACUCCGUGCCAGCAGCCGCGGUAAUACGGAGGGUGCGAGCGUUAAUCGGAAUCAUUGGGUUUAAAGGGUCCGUAGGUGGAUGAUUAAGUCAGAGGUGAAAGUCUGCAGCUCAACUGUAGAAUUGCCUUUUGAUACUGGUUAUCUUGAGUUAUUAUGAAGUAGUUAGAAUAUGUAGUGUAGCGGUGAAAUGCAUAGAUAUUACAUAGAAUACCAAUUGCGAAGGCAGAUUACUAAUAAUAUACUGACACUGAUGGACGAAAAGCGUGGGGAGCGAACAGGAUUAGAUACCCUGGUAGGAUAGCGU